AUGCGUAGGAAUCUACCUAGUAGUACGGAAUAGCCAUUAGAAAUGGUGGGUAAUACUGUAUAAUCCCCGAGGGGGAAAGAUUUAUCGCUAUUAGAUGAGCCUACGUUAGAUUAGCUAGUUGGUGAGGUAAUGGCUUACCAAGGCUAUGAUCUAUAGCUGGUCUGAGAGGACGAUCAGCCACACUGGAACUGAGAUACGGUCCAGACUCCUACGGGAGGCAGCAGUGGGGAAUAUUGGACAAUGGGCGAAAGCCUGAUCCAGCUAUGCCGCGUGAGUG
Molecule: ribosomal RNA, 277 nt
Filed under: Ehrlichia canis
Lineage: Bacteria; Pseudomonadati; Pseudomonadota; Alphaproteobacteria; Rickettsiales; Anaplasmataceae
Description: partial 16S ribosomal RNA
Rfam family: Bacterial small subunit ribosomal RNA
Source: RNAcentral